Molecule: ribosomal RNA, 494 nt
Filed under: uncultured bacterium
Lineage: Bacteria
Description: bacterial SSU rRNA
Rfam family: Bacterial small subunit ribosomal RNA
Source: RNAcentral
AAAUGAAUUGACGGGGGCCCGCACAAGCGGAGGAACAUGUGGUUUAAUUCGAUGAUACGCGAGGAACCUUACCCGGGUUAGAACGCAGGAGGAAUAUAUGGGAAACUGUAUAGCCGGAGACGGCCGUCUGCGAGGUGCUGCAUGGUUGUCGUCAGCUCGUGCCGUGAGGUGUCGGCUUAAGUGCCAUAACGAGCGCAACCCUUAUUGUUAGUUGCCAGCGAGUAAAGUCGGGGACUCUAGCAAAACUGCCGGCGUAAGCUGUGAGGAAGGUGGGGAUGACGUCAAAUCAGCACGGCCCUUACGUCCGGGGCGACACACGUGUUACAAUGGGGGGUACAGAAGGUUGCUACCACGCGAGUGGAUGCCAAUCCCAAAAUCCCCUCUCAGUUCGGAUCGAAGUCUGCAACUCGACUUCGUGAAGCUGGAUUCGCUAGUAAUCGCGCAUCAGCCAUGGCGCGGUGAAUACGUUCCCGGGCCUUGUACACACCGCCCGU